UCUAUGGCUUCAGCGGUAUCCUGAGGA
This 27-nucleotide small RNA is filed under the name Bombyx mori (domestic silkworm). RNAcentral describes it as "ovarian small RNA-29535". Lineage: Eukaryota; Metazoa; Arthropoda; Insecta; Lepidoptera; Bombycidae. The record is from RNAcentral.